AUAAAAAAGAAAAAGAAAUUGUGGGAUAAUAAAAUCCAAAAAACUCCUCCAAUCAAUAACAGUAUUAUACCGUGUCAUUAUCAGCAUGUUCAGUCCAGUCCAGUCCAGCCCAAUAAGCACGAAAUUUCUCUUAUCCAAAAUUUGUCCACUAACCUCACAUUAGCAAGUAACUAAUAACUUAAUCCUUGAGUUUAUUUAGAUUCCACAGUAAACACCUUUCUUACUUUUAAAAGACAUGUAUACCCCUUAUUUCAAUGGCGUGACUCACUUACAGAA
RNAcentral lists this long non-coding RNA (276 nucleotides) under Arabidopsis lyrata. RNAcentral's name for it is "long non-coding RNA (ALYR_LNC002972)". Lineage: Eukaryota; Viridiplantae; Streptophyta; Magnoliopsida; Brassicales; Brassicaceae. The record is from RNAcentral.